CUCUAUCUCUUUCUCUCUCGUCUGCAGUGCCUCUCUCUCUCUCUCUCACACACACACAUCUCUCAAUAGUUGCCGCCAUCCUCUUCAUUGUCCAACAUCAAGUUUGCCUCGCUGGUUUCUUGUCAAUGCUAGUAAGUCACUCCAUCCACAUCUCUCUCUCUCUCUCUCUCUCUCUCUCUCUCUCAUGGUCAUGCCUUCACUACUGUUGCCAAGCCACUCCAUCGCGAUAAUGUAGCAACUUGUCACACCACAAGGCCAACCGUCACCUCUUAUGCAUUCAGUCUUAAUCCCCUAAUAAGCCUAUCUCCUCUCUAGAGAGUUUCGACCCGCUCUCACAACGGUGGCAUGAAGGAUAUGAUGUUUCCUAUUGGGCGAUGAAGCAUAAAUCUUCUCAUUCCAGGAAACCCAAAAAUAUAAAAUCUGAUAGCAAAGGGUGAUGAAGCAUAAAUCUUACCCAUAUCAAUCUAUUCAAUUUUAUGUCUAAAAUUGUAGGAUUUAAAAUGUAAAAGAAGCUAUGGGUGGGUGACGAAAAAUUUUGGGGAGAACGAUAUUCGUGGAGGGUGAUGGAACUUGGGUGAGACAACAUUGUCCGACUAUGGUGAGGAUUUUUUUUUUUUUUUUUUUUUUUUUGGUUUCGUGCAGCAGCAAUGUUUUGUGUGGUAGCAGUUUGGUUCUUCCCAGAAUAAACGAGAUGGAGGAUCUGGUUCUUCUCCAUGAAUGGUGAAA
Carya illinoinensis is the source of this 726-nucleotide long non-coding RNA. RefSeq lists it as uncharacterized. The record is from RefSeq and is a predicted model, not a curated record. The transcript has 2 exons. Lineage: Eukaryota; Viridiplantae; Streptophyta; Magnoliopsida; Fagales; Juglandaceae.